Molecule: long non-coding RNA, 698 nt
Organism: Triticum aestivum (bread wheat)
Lineage: Eukaryota; Viridiplantae; Streptophyta; Magnoliopsida; Poales; Poaceae
Exons: 3
Source: RefSeq, a predicted model, not a curated record
GGACUGGAUUGGAUUGGAAGAAGAGGAUUGAGGAACUCCAACAGAUCCGGCGACGAGAAUAAAACUAGGACGAGAUGGCAGCUUCGCUUUUGUUUGCCGCGAGAAAGAUCUGCGGUCGCGCCCUUGGGCGACCACCGCAGUUGUAUUUUAGGGCGGCCGUUAAGGAGGAACAGAGUCUGCUGUUGCCAAGGAUUGGCCAUGGCAGGAGCUUCCCUCAACGCUUCAGCUCCUCUGAAUCAAGUCUUUCAAAAAAGCAGCACGGACCUCAAUUAGCUGCAAACACUACAAAGUCGUCGAAGCACACACCAUGUCACCCCAAUUAUGUACGUAAUAUAUUUUUUGGGACAAUCGGGACGGCUAUAGGAGUCCUUGCAAUACUCUAUGGUGUGGCCCGUACACACGGGGGGCCGAUUUUUAGAGAACAACUAUUGGGCUUGCCGCCUAAACCAAGCAAGGAAGAUGAUUAGCCUUCGGAUGACGGCUAUUGGAGCUCACAACCAAGAAUGCCUGAAUAUGACCUGGUGUUGUUAUGGUGCUCGUUGGCCUGAACAUGAGCAUUAGUCUGUUGUGACUCUGGCUGAACAAAUUUACCGUGUUUGAAUAUUUACCGAGGACCGUUAUUUUGUUAUGGUGCUCAUUGGCCUAUUUACUUGUUCAUCAGUCUGUUUUGACGAAUUUACUAUGACGUGUUGUUAUGA